Molecule: ribosomal RNA, 156 nt
Filed under: Staphylococcus epidermidis
Lineage: Bacteria; Bacillati; Bacillota; Bacilli; Caryophanales; Staphylococcaceae
Description: partial 23S ribosomal RNA
Rfam family: Bacterial large subunit ribosomal RNA
Source: RNAcentral
AGCAGCUAAGCAUGAAGCCCCCCUCAAGAUGAGAUUUCCCAACUUCGGUUAUAAGAUCCCUCGAAGAUGACGAGGUUAAUAGGUUCGAGGUGGAAGCGUGGUGACACGUGGAGCUGACGAAUACUAAUCGAUCGAAGACUUAAUCAAUUUUUUAAA